Molecule: RNase P RNA, 352 nt
Filed under: Actinobacteria bacterium RBG_19FT_COMBO_54_7
Lineage: Bacteria; Bacillati; Actinomycetota
Description: RNase P RNA component class A
Rfam family: Bacterial RNase P class A
About the family: Ribonuclease P (RNase P) is a ubiquitous endoribonuclease, found in archaea, bacteria and eukarya as well as chloroplasts and mitochondria. Its best characterised activity is the generation of mature 5'-ends of tRNAs by cleaving the 5'-leader elements of precursor-tRNAs.
Source: RNAcentral
AGAGCCGACCGGGUGGUCGCGGGCGUAUUCCAACGCUCGAGGAAAGUCCGGACUCCACAGGGCAGGGAGCUGGGUAACGCCCAGNNNNNNNNNNNNNNGGGAAACCGCCGGCCUUCAUUUAUGAGGGCGGGCAAGGGUGAAAAGGUGGGGUAAGAGCCCACCAGCGGCCUGGUGACAGGACCGGCUUGGUAAACCCCUCUUGGAGCAAGGCCAAAUAGGAGCCGAUGCUGUAGCCCGCAGCGUUCGAGGCUCGGGUAGGCCGCUCGAGGCCGCCGGUAACGGCGGUCCCAGAUGGAUGACCACCGCCCGGUUCGUCCGGGUACAGGAUCCGGCUUACAGGUCGGCUCUCUCU